UAAGGGGAGGGAGUGGGCAGUACUUCUUGAGGGAGAGAGUUCGCAGACCAGAUGAGGAAUCAUUAAUCCACAAAUUUGAGAUCAGCAAGCUGAAAGAUUCUAAAGUAUGUUUACCAUGAUAAGGCAGAUAAAAGGGGAGCCCUGUGGCCGCUCAAGCUGAACAUAAAAGCAGCCAUCCCAGCCUGGAGCCCAGGUAGAAUCCAAGGGACUCUGAAGGAGUACACAAAAUAACCCACUUGGAAAACUUCAGGCAUAGCUAAGACUACAAGAACUAACUCAGCACGAAACAACAAAAUAACAACCCAAGGAAAGAAGUGAAUUUUUCAAAGACAUUUGUCUGUCAUCAAAGCAUUCCUCACCUGGUAACACAUGUGAUAUGUUCAUGGAGUCUGUCAACUGUGUCCAUCAUGGUCCAGAUUCUAGAAAAUGACUGGUGAAUAAGACAAAGCUCCAGCUUUCAUGAAGAUUAUACUGUAAUUGGCCAGGCAGAAAAGAAGUAACAUGAAUAAGAAAAGAAUUUUUGUGAAGAAAGAGUUGCUGGAAUGGGGAAGUGCACGCAGAUCAUGGGGCUGGGCAAAGGUCCGAAGUCUGGAUGCGGCACGAAGUCCAGAGGUUUUGAAAGGUGGUGUCUUGCGAUUCCAGUCCUCUGCUGAUGCCCUGGCUUCUGGCUUUUAUUAAGGUGGUUGUAGCUAGCAGCUUGUCACUGUGUUGACUCCCCAGAUUCUCUUAGUAUCCAGUGUGUUCGGCCUCCCAACUUUUCCAACACUUUAAGACUGGUUCCCUACACAAACUUGUAGGUCUUUGGCCAUUGGACAGAGACUACAUUUUUCUCUAGUGAACACUGGUGAAUGCA
Molecule: long non-coding RNA, 853 nt
Organism: Peromyscus eremicus (cactus mouse)
Lineage: Eukaryota; Metazoa; Chordata; Mammalia; Rodentia; Cricetidae
Exons: 4
Source: RefSeq, a predicted model, not a curated record